Molecule: long non-coding RNA, 1827 nt
Organism: Bos taurus (domestic cattle)
Lineage: Eukaryota; Metazoa; Chordata; Mammalia; Artiodactyla; Bovidae
Source: Ensembl
AAGCUUACAGAGAGGCCUUUAACACCUGGAGUUGAAAGACAAGAGUUGGUUGAACUGCAAGCUGAAGAGCCUACUAAUUCUUAGUGUCACAAGGCUCCAGAGACAUUUGAGCAUUGAAAGUUUCGCCAAGGCAGUUCUGUUAAUAUGAAGGGGCAAGAAUGUGAGAUUAGAUAUAUACAAAUUAAUUGACUGAGGGGCACUUUCUGGGGUAUAGAGGAUUUAACACCCCAAGAAGAACUCUGUUAUAGACUGAAUGCGUCGCCCCAAAAUUCAUCUCUUUAAACCUAAUCCCCCGUGUGACUUGGAGGUAAGAGGCCCCAGACAGCUCGCCUGUCCUUUCCACCACGUGAAGACACAGCAAAGAGACAGCUGUUUGUGAACCAGGAAGUGGGCUCUCCCCAGACACCAAAUCGGCAAGCACCUCAGUCUUGGACUUCCCAGCCUUCAGAACCGUGAGAAAUAAAAGUUUGUUGUUUAAAUCACUCAGACUGUGGUCUUCUGUUAUAGCAGCACAAACUCAGAUACUGAUGUUCAGGGAAAACUUGCUAAGGGGAUGGAUUUUUAGAAACCGGGGGGAAAAGCCCAUUCUUAGCGAAGUGAGAAAUGUCUGAAUGGUACUGGCAGACUGUAGAGGAAGGAAUAAAGAGGCUGAGCAAAGUGAGCAUACCGGACCAGAAGAUCCAUCAGAGGACUGUGCUCUGCGAAUGUCCCCAGAGGAGACGGCAUUCACCCACGGCCAUCAGGAAAACAGUGCUGAGAGAAAGACCAACAUCACCAAGUCUGCAGGCCAGAGAUGAAGAUCCUGGUGGAAUCCGUGAUGGGAAAAGAUGCAGUUGGAAUUUAUGGCAAGUCUACUGGAAGAAUCAUGACACAGACCCUUGGGAUUCUGAAGCACAGUCAUGCCAUCUGCAGCAGAUAAUUGCUGCCCAUUGAGAAACAGCUCUUGGCCUAUCACUGUGCCCUGUAGAGACUGAUCAUUUGACCACUGGACAGUAAACCUAUCCAUUCCCUCAGACCCUUUUCAGCUGAGUGACCGGAUUUGCUAACUCCCACCAUUCCGGCUGUAUUUGUUGACAUUCUAAUAAACAGUGCUUCCCUUCUCCGUCACUCAUUUAUUUAUAACAGAUGGAUUCAUGAAUUCUUAGUUAACAGAUUAAAAUCCAUUGCCAUCAUUAUUUAUUUUGAUGUUCUCAUUGUCCUAGAUUUGAUCAAUGGGAGUGCCAGUCCUUUGUGAGUCAGGAGCCCCAGAUGUGUCGUGUCUUCCUCAUUCUUUGAGCCCUUUCUUACUUUUUGGUGUAACCAGAUGCUCCCAACUCAACUUGUACUUUCCCUGCUGCAGCUCUUGAGUCAACCAUUUCUUCAAGGAUCUCUGCUUUCUUUUCAUGGAGAAUGGUAUCCAAGGACCAUGAUCUGAGUUGUGGGUUUGCUCAUUUCUCCUGUUGUGUCAUUGCUUAUAGUUCCUCUCAGCACAGAUAUACAUACAAAUGUCUGUAUUUAUCGCUAUACCAGUUUAUACAGAUACCUUCAAUUGCAGUCUAUCACUACUUUUUAGUUUUUCCCUUUUUCAUAUUUGUAACUCCUUCAGAAAGAAGCCUGGCUUCUGUUCUCAGUGUAUCCUGUAGCUCAAGGCUAGAAUACAUGAAAGGUAGUUUUGAAAUUGCUAACUCAUACUGCUGUGAAAAGAAAAAAAAAACUUAACCAGAUUUUUAGAUAACCUGUCUGUUUUCAACCAGCCUUUCAGCUUGGCAACUGGAAAAACCAUCUUUUAAGUAAGGUUAAUAAAUUCAAACUUAAGCCCCAAAUAAGCAUGUCUAGGCCACAAAUACU